Molecule: ribosomal RNA, 253 nt
Filed under: uncultured bacterium
Lineage: Bacteria
Description: partial 16S ribosomal RNA
Rfam family: Bacterial small subunit ribosomal RNA
Source: RNAcentral
UACGUAGGGUGCAGGCGUUAAUCGGAAUUACUGGGCGUAAAGCGUGCGCAGGCGGUUUCUUAAGUCAGAUGUGAAAGCCCCGGGCUUAACCUGGGAACUGCGUUUGAAACUGGGAGACUUGAGUGUGGCAGAGGGGGGUGGAAUUCCACGUGUAGCAGUGAAAUGCGUAGAUAUGUGGAGGAACACCGAUGGCGAAGGCAGCCCCCUGGGCCGAUACUGACGCUCAUGCACGAAAGCGUGGGGAGCAAACAGG